RNAcentral lists this ribosomal RNA (305 nucleotides) under uncultured bacterium. RNAcentral's name for it is "bacterial SSU rRNA". It matches the Rfam family "Bacterial small subunit ribosomal RNA", at positions 336 to 633 of the family's 1533-position model. The record is from RNAcentral.
CUCCUACGGGGCGCAGCAGUGGGGAAUAUUGCACAAUGGGCGCAAGCCUGAUGCAGCGACGCCGCGUGUGGGAUGAAGGCCCUCGGGUUGUAAACCACUUUUGUAGAGAACGAAAAGACACCUUCGAAUAAAGGGUGUUGCUGACGGUACUCUAAGAAUAAGCACCGGCUAACUACGUGCCAGCAGCCGCGGUAAUACGUAGGGUGCGAGCGUUAAUCGGAAUUACUGGGCGUAAAGGGUGCGCAGGCGGUUGAGUAAGACAGAUGUGAAAUCCCCGAGCUUAACUCGGGAAUGGCAUAUGAUAC